AAUCAACGCUGGCGGCGUGCCUCAGACAUGCAAGUCGAACGAUUAAAGCUCUCUUCGGAGAGUGCAUAAAGUGGCGCACGGGUGAGUAACACGUAAGUAAUCUACCUUUGAGUGGGGAAUAACAGUCGGAAACGGCUGCUAAUACCGCAUAAUGCAGCGGCACCGCAAGGUGACAGUUGUUAAAGGAGCAAUCCGCUUGAAGAGGAGCUUGCGGCAGAUUAGCUAGUUGGUAAGGUAAUGGCUUACCAAGGCUACGAUCUGUAACCGGUCUUAGAGGACGGUCGGUCACACUGACACUGAAUAACGGGUCAGACUCCUACGGGAGGCAGCAGUCGGGAAUUUUGGGCAAUGGGCGAAAGCCUGAUCCAGCCAUGCCGCGUGAGUGAAGAAGG
RNAcentral lists this ribosomal RNA (392 nucleotides) under uncultured bacterium. RNAcentral describes it as "bacterial SSU rRNA". It matches the Rfam family "Bacterial small subunit ribosomal RNA", at positions 32 to 414 of the family's 1533-position model. The record is from RNAcentral.